RNAcentral lists this ribosomal RNA (491 nucleotides) under uncultured bacterium. Its description in RNAcentral is "partial 16S ribosomal RNA". It matches the Rfam family "Bacterial small subunit ribosomal RNA", at positions 29 to 506 of the family's 1533-position model. The record is from RNAcentral.
AGUGAACGCUGGCGGUAGGCCUAACACAUGCAAGUCGAACGGCAGCACAGUAAGAGCUUGCUCUUACGGGUGGCGAGUGGCGGACGGGUGAGGAAUACAUCGGAAUCUACUUUUUCGUGGGGGAUAACGUAGGGAAACUUACGCUAAUACCGCAUACGACCUACGGGUGAAAGCAGGGGAUCUUCGGACCUUGCGCGAUUGAAUGAGCCGAUGUCGGAUUAGCUAGUUGGCGGGGUAAAGGCCCACCAAGGCGACGAUCCAUAGCUGGUCUGAGAGGAUGAUCAGCCACACUGGAACUGAGACACGGGCCAGACUCCUACGGGAGGCAGCAGUGGGGAAUAUGGGACAAGGGGCGCAAGCCUGAUCCAGCCAUACCGCGGGGGUGAAGAAGGCCUUCGGGUUGUAAAGCCCUUUUGUUGGGAAAGAAAAGCAGCAGGUUAAUACCCCGCUGUUCUGACGGUACCCAAAGAAGAAGCACCGGCUAACUUCGU